Molecule: long non-coding RNA, 384 nt
Filed under: Rattus norvegicus (Norway rat)
Lineage: Eukaryota; Metazoa; Chordata; Mammalia; Rodentia; Muridae
Description: long non-coding RNA NONRATT031666
Source: RNAcentral
AUGUGUAUAUGGAUUUGGGUACAUGAGUGCAGGUGUCCACACAGGCCAGAAGAGGGUGCCAGAGCCCAUGGACCUAGAGUUACAGGCAGUCUGGAAUGGGCACUGAGAACUGAGCUCAGGUCCUCUGCAAAAGCAGUGCCAGCUCUUAACCAUGAAGCCAUCUGUCCAGCCCUCAGCACUACUCUUCAACUGAAUACCAGCUGUUAAUUAUCAUUAUUAAGGAUUAUUAAAAAUAAGGACCCAGAUGUUCCAGGAGCUCUUCAGUUGCUUUGUAGAGUGGUCUGGAGCCUACUCAACAAUCUGGGGAUGAAAGGACUCUCACCUGGAGAAGCUGAGGCCUCAAGGGGGUGAGUGUCUUGUUGUCGGAGGUAAGGAGCACUAGGU